UGGGGAAUAUUGGACAAUGGGGGCAACCCUGAUCCAGCAAUGCCGCGUGUGUGAAGAAGGUCUUCGGAUUGUAAAGCACUUUCGACGGGGACGAUGAUGACGGUACCCGUAGAAGAAGCCCCGGCUAACUUCGUGCCAGCAGCCGCGGUAAUACGAAGGGGGCUAGCGUUGCUCGGAAUGACUGGGCGUAAAGGGCGUGUAGGCGGUUUACACAGUCAGAUGUGAAAUCCCCGGGCUUAACCUGGGAGCUGCAUUUGAUACGUGUAGACUAGAGUGUGAGAGAGGGGUUUGUGGAAUU
Molecule: ribosomal RNA, 298 nt
Filed under: uncultured bacterium
Lineage: Bacteria
Description: partial 16S ribosomal RNA
Rfam family: Bacterial small subunit ribosomal RNA
Source: RNAcentral